Molecule: long non-coding RNA, 11777 nt
Organism: Mesocricetus auratus (golden hamster)
Lineage: Eukaryota; Metazoa; Chordata; Mammalia; Rodentia; Cricetidae
Exons: 16
Source: RefSeq, a predicted model, not a curated record
ACAGUAUACCAUCCCUUGGGAAGAAUGCCAAAGAGGAAUCUUUGGAGUGGCCUGCCCUGAGGUAAAUGAGAUGAUUAGCAGGGCAGAGUGUUGUAGAUUGCUGAAGACAUGCCAUAAAAAAUAGUUGCCAAACAUUGUUCUGAGAUGAGGAGGGAGGACAAGAUGGAGGAAGCCAGGGUGGACGAGGCUGUGUCGAUGUGGCAGAUAGGCAGUGGUGUGGGGGUCUUAGUGUGUCCAGUGGUCCUGGAAAGAUCUGAUAGCAGAACUGAGGUGGAAAUAGCAGCACGAGUUUGACAGACUGUGUGUGGUCACUAUGUCAGAGGUGGUUCUGAGCAUUAUCUUGAAGAGUGUGCUCACUACUGUCGAGGUAACUGGAUGUGCGGUCCAGCAUGAAAUAUUUUGGUUGACCGCAGAGUGGGGCAAAUGAACUCACAAGAGCAAGGAGGAGCCGUUAUCCCCUGCUGCAAAACUGUGCACUUUCUGAUGAGCCAUGCUGGAGUGCUCUUGGGCAGAGCAGGAGUGGGAGAGAGCAGAAGUGAUCUGAUUAUCCCAUGGAGACCAGGCAGGCCAACCUUUCCCAGAACCAUGUGGACGGUUCCAACUGUAACGUUGGCAUGUGCUUUUUUCAUGUGUCCCCAGUGUUGAAAUCAUUGUGUGGCAUGGCCGGAGUGCAGAGAGAGUUGCACCUCAUCUUUAGCCUAGGCUGGAGGAAAGUGCCUGGGCCACCAGUGAAGUUUCAUGGCUCUGUGGACACGAACGGGAAAGCACGGAGUUGAAGUGUUGAAAUCAUUGUGUGGCAUGGCCGGAGUGCAGAGAGAGUUGCACCUCAUCUUUAGCCUAGGCUGGAGGAAAGUGCCUGGGCCACCAGUGAAGUUUCAUGGCUCUGGGGACACGAACGGGAAAGCACGGAGUUGAAGUGUUGAAAUCAUUGUGUGGCAUGGCCGGAGUGCAGAGAGAGUUGCACCUCAUCUUUAGCCUAGGCUGGAGGAAAGUGCCUGGGCCACCAGUGAAGUUUCAUGGCUCUGGGGACACGAACGGGAAAGCACGGAGUUGAAGUGUUGAAAUCAUUGUGUGGCAUGGCCGGAGUGCAGAGAGAGUUGCACCUCAUCUUUAGCCUAGGCUGGAGGAAAGUGCCUGGGCCACCAGUGAAGUUUCAUGGCUCUGUGGACACGAACGGGAAAGCACGGAGUUGAAGUGUUGAAAUCAUUGUGUGGCAUGGCCGGAGUGCAAAGAGAGUUGCACCUCAUCUUUAGCCUAGGCUGGAGGAAAGUGCCUGGGCCACCAGUGAAGUUUCAUGGCUCUGUGGACACGAACGGGAAAGCACGGAGUUGAAGUGUUGAAAUCAUUGUGUGGCAUGGCCGGAGUGCAGAGAGAGUUGCACCUCAUCUUUAGCCUAGGCUGGAGGAAAGUGCCUGGGCCACCAGUGAAGUUUCAUGGCUCUGGGGACACGAACGGGAAAGCACGGAGUUGAAGUGUUGAAAUCAUUGUGUGGCAUGGCCGGAGUGCAGAGAGAGUUGCACCUCAUCUUUAGCCUAGGCUGGAGGAAAGUGCCUGGGCCACCAGUGAAGUUUCAUGGCUCUGGGGACACGAACGGGAAAGCACGGAGUUGAAGUGUUGAAAUCAUUGUGUGGCAUGGCCGGAGUGCAGAGAGAGUUGCACCUCAUCUUUAGCCUAGGCUGGAGGAAAGUGCCUGGGCCACCAGUGAAGUUUCAUGGCUCUGUGGACACGAACGGGAAAGCACGGAGUUGAAGUGUUGAAAUCAUUGUGUGGCAUGGCCGGAGUGCAGAGAGAGUUGCACCUCAUCUUUAGCCUAGGCUGGAGGAAAGUGCCUGGGCCACCAGUGAAGUUUCAUGGCUCUGGGGACACGAACGGGAAAGCACGGAGUUGAAGUGUUGAAAUCAUUGUGUGGCAUGGCCGGAGUGCAGAGAGAGUUGCACCUCAUCUUUAGCCUAGGCUGGAGGAAAGUGCCUGGGCCACCAGUGAAGUUUCAUGGCUCUGGGGACACGAACGGGAAAGCACGGAGUUGAAGUGUUGAAAUCAUUGUGUGGCAUGGCCGGAGUGCAGAGAGAGUUGCACCUCAUCUUUAGCCUAGGCUGGAGGAAAGUGCCUGGGCCACCAGUGAAGUUUCAUGGCUCUGGGGACACGAACGGGAAAGCACGGAGUUGAAGCCCACCAACACCCGCAGUGUCCUUGAGUGUCAGUGCUGAAUAUCUCUGUGCAAGUGCACCACAGCAUGCGUGGAUCGAUGAUGAUUCCCAGUCAAACAUUCCUUGGAAAAGCUGAACAAAAUGAGUGAAAACUCAAUACCGCCGCUCUCAUCGGGACUGAGGUCCAGCAACUUGGGUCACCCAAGUCCUCCAGGAGUCAGACACAGGCUCAGGAACCACUCCAUUGCUCCUGCCCGACUCCAGCAGUAGCCAGACUCCAUAACCAUGGCCUGGUUCUUUCCCCACUCUGCCAGCAAUCUUGGCCAUGGGCUCAGAAUGGAUUGCUGAGCAUCCUUUGUCCAGUGCUAGAGGCAUGUGACUCUGCCUCCGGUGAAGUAACAUGUCGCUGCGGACAUUAAUUGAAAAGGCCAGAAGAUGAAGGAGGCAUGUGCCUGUGCUGUGUUGAAGUUACUUUGUCUUGGGGACAUUCUUGAGAAGAUCAUAAGAUGAAGUUAAAGGAGUCAAAUGAAGAAAGAUGCCUCAAAAGGUAGCAGAAAAGAACAAGAGUAAACAAAAUAUAGGUGAAGACACACACAAAUGAAGAAGACUAACCAUCCACAAAAGGAAAAAUCCACUCUCAUUUAGAAGACUGGUGUUAUGUUGCUGAAGGUUCUCCCUCCUCUAAUUGAGAAUUUGUUGGUUUGAGGAAAGAUACAAUGGCUAAAUGGUCUGCAAUUGUUAUACAAGCAUGGCUUGAUGUGACCCCAAAGUUUUUAAGUCAGUUCAUCAUCAGGGAGUAACUGGCAGGUGAAAAUGCUUACAAGACUUUUGUGUUAACUUGCCAGGGUUUUGCCUCAGGUCAGAAGGGUGAGGAAGAACCCUGGAAAUUCAACAACUGUAUUAUUUAUAUAUUGCCCCACUCCUUAUCUGUCUGCCUCCCUGGGCAUUUGUGUAAUACCUACUCUCAAUUUCAGCAAAAUAUAUACAUGCAUUAUCUGGGUCAAGGGUAGAGAAGGUUUAAGCAAAUAGGCUGAAUACAUAGUAGGAUAGCAUGCUUGAUUGUAUUGUUAACCUUGAAUGAGAGGCUCAGCAAAUGACCCAUUCCUUUAGAAUUUAAGUGGCAUUUUUUUCAUAAUGUAUCUUCACUUUAAAUAUUUUGGAAGGAGUUAAAAAAGGACAUCUAUCAAAUUAGGAUCCUACAUAAAAUGCCUUUAACCAAACUAAGGGUGGUUCGAGAGCCUCAGAAAGAACACAAAAACAAUCCACAUGAGGAAAUAACACCAGAUGGCCUAAAUUCAGUGAGUCCACAUAGGUUCCUGGCUUCCAAUCAAAUGAUUCAUGCAGAAGAAACACAGAACCAUUUUGGAGUCCUAACUUGUAGCCCAACACUUCUUGAGCCCUUUGCUUUAGCACCUUGCACACUUGGGAGUGAUCGUGAUCAACCAAUGAAUUCUGUUCUUAUUGCUAAACAUGUGACCCUGGAACAGCUCUAGCAAAAACUGAUGCUCCCUGAUCAUGGACGAGUACCAAAUGCCAUAGGGAGGGAAAGAAUCACUGAUCUCUUAAAUGGAGUGCCUCAGAGUUUCGGCAGUCCUCUCCAAGGUAGCUUGGAGAGCUACCUUGCUAUUUAUAAGAGCUUCAGGGAAAUUGAAAUGAGAAGGAAGGAAGAUAUACUGGCAUCAUGUUUGUCCUUGUUCUUGAAAAGGAGAGAUCUGAGUGUACUUUGUGCCCUUCUCAUUCAUAGUUAUUAGAGAUUCCAGAUAUAAAUCUUAGCUCCUGACUUGAUAUCAGGAGAUAAUAAUUACUUAUUAUUUAUUGCUGUAGUUCUGACUUUAGAGGUCACCUGAUGGAAUUUCUAGUUUCUUGGAUUCCCAAAACAAGGAAAUGUACCAAGGGCAUGUAUCUAGUUAUUAAGAGGAAAAAGCACUCACCAGAGUAGAAUUAGGUCAGAGAUUUGGGAAAUAGGAGAAACUUAUUUAAAGUUCAUUUAUAUUUUUUCAAGUACAUUCUCUGUUGACUACAUUCAUGUUGGUGUCAGUCUUUCUAAAAACUGGCAAUUUUUAUGUUAAUUUUAAUGAAACUUUCCUCAUUGGUGCCGCUACCCCUUUCUUUUCAUUUGUUGUUUUAUACUUUGGCUAGGUAAGGUUGUAAAUAACUCUAUAGUCCUUGUCAAGGUACAGUACUGUCCAUUUUCCUGAAAAUGAAUUUGGUCCUUUGACUUCCAGCAGGAAUUUCAGAUUUUUCUACUUGCAUCAGUAGGGUCAUGGGAAAAUUCACAUUUCUUUCUUUGUAUUCUUCUUUUAUACAUUACAUCUUGACCAGUUUCACCUCGAACCAUUUCUCCCAGUCCCUCUAACCUUUUCCAUCAGAUCCAGUGCUCCUUCACUUCCCUUCAUAAAAGAGCAGACCCUCCAGGUGUAGAAAACAAACACAGCAUAAUAAGUUCAAAUAAGACCAGGCACAAACCUCAUAACAAUACAACACAAAGCAACCUGGUAGGAGGAAAAAUGUCCGGACUCAGGCAAGAAUCAGAUAUAUCCUCCAUUCCCAUUGUUUCGAGUUGCACAGGAACUCCAACCUUUGCAAACAUAACAUACUGAGCCUCUGUGAUUCUCAAUUCAGACUCUGUGAGUCCGUAUGUGCCUUGCUUAGUUGAUAUUGUGGGCCAUGUUCUUAUGGGAUCCUUGACCCACCUGGCUCCUCUCCCUCUUCUGUAGGGCUGCUCAAGUCCCACAUAAUGAUUUUGGAAAUGCCUUACAUAACUUUGUGUUUAAUAGUCCUAUUGCCAAUGGACUCUCAGCACAAUUGUCUGAUAUACAGUGACUUGUUGCCCGCUAAGUUCUCCCUACUCUCACCAAAGUGAUCUACACUGUUAGUUACUGAAAUUAACAAGAAAAUUGCAAUAAAAAACACAACUUAAUAGGAGGAGAUUUUGCAUGAUUCUUGUGGAAACACAAAAGGCAUAUACAUUCAAAUCAACCUUUAUGUAAUUGAAAACUAGACAAGUCAUAUAUUGUUGAUUUUACAGGAUGAGAAUAGGAACACUACCACAAAUUUUGAGUGAAAUUUGAAGUAAGCUCUAUUAAAUAUUGGUCAGAAGAUAGACAUUGGCCAGGUCCAUGUCUAUAAUUACCAAAGAAUGGCCAGGAAUUAUGUUAUGUGCUGAUAAAGACAAAACCCAUAAGACUACAUAUUUCCAAUCUGGUGCAGGCAUACAUCCUGAUGUUUUUUUCUGCCUACCUACCUCCCACCUGUGUAUGAUCAAGCAUUUCCUGUGCUGUUGAUGCCAAAAACAUUGUUUAUAGAAAUGGAACCUUAUGACUGACUUGUUUGUUACCUUUUAUGAACUUCCCAGCAUUCUAGAAAUUUAUAUGUCCUUAGCAAGUAGGGUUUACGUGUUAGAAGCAUUAUUGUUUCAUAUAUCUCUUAAGCACAGUAAUUUAAACUUUAAACAACUUUAGCCCUCACAGUUUCUUGAUUUCAAAUAUACUAAAAGAUAAUCCAAAUAACCUAAGAGCAGGCACACCAGCCAGUGACACAGAAAUAUUGCCAAGUAACUUUUACUUUGGUUUCAAAAGAGACACUAGUAAAUCAGUGCUGUUGAGAAACUAGGUAUCCAUUUGCAAUAUAUUGAAGUAAUACACUUGUUUCAUACUGUGUGUGAAAUAAAUUUAAUGAAUUAAAACUUUAAAGGUAAACUUGAACCUGUAAAAUUACUGAAAGAAAACAAGAGUAAAAUGUGACUUCCCAAACAAGAAAAACAAAAGCAAACAACAACAAAAUGACAUACAAAUAGUAUAACCCAAAUCUAUAAAACUUCUUCAUAGCAACAUAUGUAAUGUUCAGAAUGAAGAAACAGUCUACAGAAUAAAAAAAUUAUAAACCAUUUGUCUGAUAAGGUUUGGUUAGCUAUGUAUAAGGUAUUAGACAACUAAAAUAUGAUAAAGUGAUUUAAAAAUGAAAAGAAGAUAUAGAUUAAAUCAUAGUCAGCAAACAUAUGGACAGACAAUGUAAAUCAAAAAUUGAGCUAAAUACUACUUCAAUUGUAUUUGAAUGACUCUUAUCAAAUACAGAAAAAAAUAGGAAGAGUUACUGAGGAUGCGAAAUUUGUUGGGGUAUUUAAGUCAAGUAUUGAAAGACAGAAGGCAGAAAGAAAGGCUUAGUCUGACCUUAGGCGGGAUCAUGUUUAUUCAAGGCAAAGGGACAUCUUUCACCCACAUGUGUAGAUGGCCACAUCUUUUAUCAUGAAACUAUCUAAGACAAGGAAAAGUUACAUGUAUUACAUGUAUUUAUAUGGUAGGAAUUUAAAUGAAUGCAGUCAUUAUGAAAAGUAGCAUGGAUUCAGCCUAAAAAUAUCAAUGUAUAUCUACCAUGUGUUCAGCAAAUCCAUUCUUCAAGAUAUAUUUACAGCCAAUGAAAUUGGUAUAUUGAAGAAGUACUGAAAUCUCAUUUACUUCAGACUCAUUCACAAUUAUAACACAGACACAACCUAACUAUCCAUUGGGAAAUGAAUAGCUAAUUAAGACAAUUAUUAUGCCUAUACAGCUUAUUUGGGUCUAUUAUUUGUACUGGUCCUUUUUCUUACAUCUAAUGCAUAUGUGAUUUUCUACCGCUUCAGUUGUUUCAAGAGAAUGCAAUACUGGCUAAAGUAGUGUUAGCAUGACUUUUAAAAUCUUUAUGCAACAAACACAAUGCUUAAUCUGAGGGUGGUUGUCACCAGUUGAUUGACUUCUUAGUCUAUUCAUGGUUUUUCUUGAAUUUUUCUUGUGCAUAUUCUAUUCAUGAUGUUUCUUGGACUUAUAAUUUUUCUAGGUAUUAUUUAGUAGAUGGCAUGUUGUUUUCUUGUUAGUUUUUAGUAUUAGGGAAUUCAGAUCCCACAUAUAUGUAUUCAGUGAAUGUUUGAAUAAGAAUUGUUCCCUGUGGGUUACAUAUAUUUGAACACUUGGUGGUGCUGGUGCUGUUUGAGAGGGGUUUCUAGAAUCUUUGGAUGUGGAUUUCUGUUGGAAGUGCAAUUUGAGAGUUUAUGGCCUCUCUAUAUCUCCACUUUUCUCUCUCUGACUUGUGAUUGUAGUUGAGGAUAUGAUCUCUCAGCUCCUAGCUACAAGUGACUGCUGUCAUGCCUCCGCUAUCAGUAAGAUCUUUUCUUCUGAACCAUAAGCCAAAACAAUCUCCUUACACUAUAAGGUGCUACUGAUCAUGCCAUUUUUUUACAGAAAAAAUUACUUUAUUUAUCUGGUGUUCCUAUAGCGAUAUGUGAGAUCAAAUAGUUAUACAUGACUUGGAUGACUUUCCCCUGUAAAUAAAGUAGAAAAUAAAGAACAUAGGAGUGAAGAGAACCUACCAAAUGGUCUCACCAAAUGUAUCAAAAAGGCUCCAGAUAAUGCCAACAGUAAAGAGAGUCCUAUUCAGUUUGAACAGUUAGAGAAUGUAAUGUACAUAUUCCCUCAAUUUUUCUCUGUUAUUGCAUCUCAACAUGAAUUUAUCAUUGAGAAGUACAGAGAAGUGAUAGUGAAUAUAAUCAGGUAAUACAAAACUUAAAGGUUAAGUGGGAACCAUCAUAAGGUAUAAAAUCUCUAUGAUAUUAUUGAUUCUUUUCAGAAAACCACAGCACUACCUGUGAAAGGGAGCCAUGAGUCUGGUCAUCAACUAUGACAUGACUCAUGGUCUGCCAGAUAUAUUAAGUUAAAGGUCACUUUUAAUAAUACUAUUACUGACAAUGUGUACUAUCAGAAAUAGUUCUUGGAAUCUGAACAAAUUGGGUGAGUCCUUAAAGUACCUUAUUAUUCAAUAUUAGAUUUAAAUCAAUUUUCUUAACUUUGUUAAGACCACUUGUGUGUAUGGUCCAAACUGUUACCAAAGUUGCAUGUAUUUCCUAUGGUCAUGAUAGUACAGGCUGACUUUUAUUACCUGAACCAGCUUCUUUUUCUGAGAAAGAACACAGUGACAUACUCUAGUGGUAAACUUUAACUGUUUAUAACUAUUUCCUCUUGUAAUAUGAAGUUUUCUUGAUUAAGUGUGUUCUGCCAGCAUUCUUUGCCCCAAAGAAAUUCAUGGAAGCUAUAUUAAUUAAGAAACUGUUGACUAGUGUUGCACAUUUCUUAUUGGAUAGCUCUGACUUAAUUAUUAACCCAUAACCACUAAUCAAUGUAUUUCCAUGUGGUCUUAGCUUAUCGGGAAUGCCACACCUGCAACUCCUUUGCCUACUGCAUCUCCACAGAGGAGAGAUUAAUUUCCUUUUUGACCCUGCUUAUAUAAUGUUACUGCCCAGCUAUGUCACUUCCUGCCUCUGUACAGACCUCCUGACUAUGGUUAGCUAGCGGCAGUUUCUGCCCAGCUACAUCACUUUCUGGGAUCACAUGAUGAUUCCUCUGCCUACAUUUCCCACAAUCCCCCUGAUAACAUAGCUCCACCUAUCUUUCUGCCCUAUUGUCCAAGAGUGCUUUAUUAAUCAACCAAUAAGACAAACAUAUACACAAAGAACAUUCCCCAACAUCUCCUCUUUUCUGCCUAAAUAAAAAGAAGGGUUUUAACUUUAACAUAGUAAAAUUUAUCACAAAACAGUUAUCGGGUAAGAAUUAUAUUUAGUCCAUUAAUAUUUAGCAUGAUUUAUAGAAAAUAUUCUAUCUUCUAUCCUAUCUUUGUGAGUCUAAAGUCUUAUAUAUAACUUAUAUAUUAUCAUAACUAAUGGAACCAUAACCACAACUCUCUAUCUUCAACUCCAUCAAAGACCACAGAAGGAUAAUAUAUAAACUCUAGAAUUGACAGAGACAUCUCACUGCCUGGACAGUGACCCAAAGCUCCUUUAUAAUGUUGAGACAUCUAUCUUCAGCCUACACAUCAUAGUGUGUCUGAUAGACUUCUCAGCAAAGCAGAAUAUUUGAAACUGUCCUCCUGCAUUGUCAGUUUGUCAGUCAUUUUUUCAGUGUCCUGAUGAAUGUCUGGCAGACACUUUAAUGAAGCAGGAACCCUUCAGGACGGUCCUUCUUGAUUUGCAAGUUCAGCAGUCACUUUCCUAUAGGUCCUGCUUGUCCAGUUUAUACAGCAAUAGCCAAACAGUCUAGGCAAGAGCAGUUUCUUGCCCAAUGGCUAGUCUCACCAUAUUGAAAGCAAAUUCCAUAACAAGUUUCUUCGAUGCCCAUCUUACUCUCAGAUAAAAUUGGCAUUACCAGGAGCAGUUAUGUCUCACUGUCAUGAAAAACCCUAAACUAUUUUAAAUGACGUAUUAUGCAGGUCUUUGAAAGGAUUUAAGAAUAUCUAUCCAUUUGAAAUAUCAUUUUAAAUCUAGAAAAUCUAAUUAAAAUAAGUUUUGACUAUUAUAGGUGACCUUAUAUAAUCUGUAUUUAGUAAUACAUCACAUUUUUAAAAGAACUGUAUAAACACAAUGCCUGAACAAGAGGAGAAAAUCACAUAACACAAAAUUGGUAUCAAUAAAUGAAAAUCCAUUGCAAUACAAAGUAUUCAUUUCUAUAACAUAAUUUUUCUUUUUCUUUAAAAAUAGUUUGGCUGUGAUACUUAACCAUUUAUAACCAAUCCCAUUUAAGUAAAAACAAACAUUUAUAAAAAUUGUUUGUGAUUGUGUGUGUCAUUUUCUCAAAACUUCUUCCUGCAGUUUGGGGGCACUAUUUUGGGAAUCUGAAGAAGACCCAGAAAUCCUGGCUGUAGUGGUCUGUGACUAUAUAAUCUCAGAAGUUUUUGGAUUUUGUAUCACCUGGGCCACUUCUUCAGGGGUGUCUUUCUUGAACAAACAAUAUUAGUCUGGUAGGAUCGAUAGCUUUUCAUUUUCUGUGGAAACAAGAACAGAAACUCUUUUCACAUGUAUCCUGUCCUUAUACUUAAAUUUUGAAGUCAAAGCAUUUUUAAAAUAUAUAACUUGAAUUAAUCCAGUAGCUUUUCUUUUAGUAAUUGUUGCUUCUUCCUCAGAAAUCAAAAUUUUCAGAGAUAACACAAUAACAUAAAGUAUGCAGAUGCUGUCUUUUCCAUCUAUCUAUCUCUCUCUCUCUCUAUCUAUCUAUCUAUCUAUCUAUCUAUCUAUCUAUCUAUCAUCUAUUUAUUAUUCUAUUUCUUUCACUUUUAUUUUUUUCAUUUCUUGAGACAGUUUUCAUUUCUUGGGAAGUUUACCACCCCAGCUCACAACCUUUCCUGUGCUUUAUGGAUGAAAUGAUGUUGUUAAGAAGGGGUAUGGUACUCCUUGGAAAUCUUACCUUGAAGCUAAAAUGUAGCAAGCUUUGAGGUAAACAGUGGUUAUAGAAGAUUUGUUUCUUUCUCCAUUUAGAGGCAAUAAUUUCAUUGUGUUAUGCAAUGCCUUAUUUUCAAUUCUUGAUUAAAGAAAUAUGUCUGUAUAGUUCCUUUGGAAUAAAUACUUAUGUAUCUUUAUGUAGAAUGAUAUAUACACUUUAUACACUUAUGAAGUUAUCUGGCCAGGUUUUCCAUCCAUGUAUGUUUUGGUAAGAAUUUCCAGGACCAAAUAACUUGUAUUUAAUAUAUAACCACAUAUUUACAGUAAUGUGCUACUACACUAGCCCUUAAUGAUUUCAAAACUCUGUUGAAGAGAAUGCAUUAUGAAUUUAAACUAUCAAAGAAUUAUUUAUGCUAAGUUUGCAAGAUGCUUUCCUUUUGGUAAUAAUUUAAACAAGUAGAGAUAUGGCAAUUGUCUUAUUGCUCAAUUCAUACUUCUUUCCUUCUAAAUGUCUGUAAUUUCUUUCUCAAAUAGAUACAUAUGAAGUUUAACAAACACACUUCUCUAAUACUCUGAUAUAAUCUCAAUGCUGUGUUCCUGUGAAUAUAUAUGUAAACACUUAACCUAAGGUCCUCCAGCAAAGUUCCCCUUGAUCUAGAACUACUUCCUUGGCUCCUCUACCAUCAUAUGGCCCUCUCCAAUUUUCUUAAGCUAAUACACUGUUUAUUAAUUCGUAUUUUCAAUAGACAAUGCAUUCAAGCAUAUAUGUAGGACUGUGAUUACUCUUGAAACAUUCUUAAAAUAGAUGGGACUUGAACUCUUAAGUUUAUUUGAUUGUAUUAUAGUAAGUCAGUGCAAGGGAUUCAGUUCUAUGUCCUUACAUUUACACACCAGAACAUCUUUGGUAAUUAAUAGUUUGCUUCCAAUCCUCAGAAUCUUCACAGGUAAUUAUAGACCAAGACUUUCUUGGUUGAAGGAUUUAGAUGAAAGUAUAUUAACGACAAUGGAGUUUUGUGACAAAGUAUAUAGCAGGUAACUUUGAACAGAAAAUUUAUAUGUGAUAUGUGUGUUUGUUUACUGUAUAUAAUUGGUCUUUUGACAAUUUGAAUCAUGUAUGUAAUACAUUGUGGUCACACUCAACCUACUCUAAUCUCGUAUUCACCUCCUCAAAAUCUCCUCUUCCAAGAUGUCCCCCUCUCAUUAUUAUACCUUUUAGAAUUUUGGAUUUAUUUUAUAACCAACUGAAUUUAACCAGAGUUAUGUGUAUGACCAUGAAUGUAGAGCUAUCCAAUGGAGAGUGGAUGACUCACUAGUUAUUCCAGCACUGAAGAUGUAAAAGUGUUUCCCUUAGAAGCCAUCUAUUGCUAAUACUUCCCCAGAGAGCUGCCAGACUUCAUGAGCCUCUCCGUGACUGAAUGUCUUCUGCAGGUUCUGCAUCGAACUUGGAAGCAACC